CCUACGGGUGGCAGCAGUGAGGAAUAUUGGUCAAUGGCCGUGAGGCUGAACCAGCCAAGUCGCGUGAAGGAUGACGGACCUAUGGUUUGUAAACUUCUUUUAUAAAGGAAUAAAGUUAUGCACGUGUGCCUUUUUGUAUGUACUUUAUGAAUAAGGAUCGGCUAACUCCGUUCCAGCAGCCGCGGUAAUACGGAGGAUCCGAGCGUUAUCCGGAUUUAUUGGGUUUAAAGGGAGCGUAGAUUGGUUGUUAAGUCAGUUGUGAAAGUUUGCGGCUCAACCGUAAAAUUGCCAUUGAUACUGGCAGCCUUGAGUAUAGUUGAGGUAGGCGGAAUUCGUGGUGUAGCGGUGAAAUGCUUAGAUAUCACGAAGAACUCCGAUUGCGAAGGCAGCUUACUAAGCUGCCACUGACAUUGAUGCUCGAAAGUGUGGGUAUCAAACAGGAUUAGAUACCCUAGUAGUC
RNAcentral lists this ribosomal RNA (460 nucleotides) under uncultured bacterium. Its description in RNAcentral is "partial 16S ribosomal RNA". It matches the Rfam family "Bacterial small subunit ribosomal RNA", at positions 338 to 795 of the family's 1533-position model. The record is from RNAcentral.